This 2259-nucleotide long non-coding RNA is filed under the name Homo sapiens (human). RNAcentral's name for it is "HSALNT0344525". Lineage: Eukaryota; Metazoa; Chordata; Mammalia; Primates; Hominidae. The record is from RNAcentral.
CUCCAGGAACUCUACAUACAAUAUUUUGUUUAAUCCUCACCAGAACCUUUGAACAAUUAGUGGCUCCAUCUAACAGAAAACAAAACGCCUCGGGGGAACAGGUAGAAUAAAGAGAUCCAGACCCAAAGGACUCCAGAGUCCUUCCUGCUAUGCCCUGCUGAAGUAUACAGGAUGGAAUUGACAUAACUGGUCAAAAUUUUCUUGCCAAUUAAAUCAUAUUCUUCCUAUAUCCAAACAUAAAAAAAUUGACAGCUAACAUUUAAAACAAAAAUUAAGUAAAAGGAAUGUCUUUCUUCAAACAACAUUCCCCUUGAAGACCAGUAUUAACAAUCAGAACUUGCACAGGAUUUUAUUGUUCAUAAAUUCCAUGUCCUAUGCACGAUAUAAGCAUUUUUUUUUUUGAGAUGGAGUCUAACUCCGUCACUCAGGCUGGAGUGCAGUGGCACGAUCUCAGCUCACUACAACCUCCUCCUCCCGGGUUCAAGCAAUUCUCCUGCCUCUCGAGUAGCUGGGACUACAGGUGCCCGCCACCACAAGUGGCUAAUUUUUGUAGUUUUAGUAGAGACAGGGUUUUGCCAUGUUGGCCACGCUGGUCUCAAACUCCUGGCCUCAAGUGAUCCCUCUGCCUCGGGCUCUAAAAGUGCUGGGAUUACAGGCAUGAGCCACCACACCAGGCUGAUAUAAGCACUUUUAAUUACAAAAAAAAGUACAGCAGGCACUUGACAGGGAAUGUAGAGGAGUUAUUUUAAAAUUCCAUUAACAUUAGUAACACUGAAACAUGCAGUAUCAAUUCUGCUGACUCAUUCCUCUUUAAAAAUUAAUAGCCUAGAAUAAGUUUAGAUAGGUAAUGUCUGAGACAAUAUGAAGAAAGAUGCUACACCUGAGGCAUUGCUGAUUUAAUACCUUUAAGUAAAAUUUAAAAGAUAAAUGGAUAAAAUGAUUCUUUUAGAAACAAAAUGCCACUAAACAUGAAAUCAUGAACUUGCCAAUCAAGUUCAUUUAUUCAAGAUUCUUCCUCAUUCCAAGAAGGAUUUGAGCUUUGCUCAAUGCUGCAUAACCCUUUAGGCACUAUUUUAAAAAGAAAAAAACAAAACACACAAAAUUCUUACUGGAAGCAAUGGUUGGUUGCAAGGAAGAAUUCUUUCCCUCUCUUAGACCACAACUAAAGGGGAAGGAAGAAGGAAUCUGAGUCCCUGGCACAGCAAUCGAGAGUGUGCCCUGGGGCAGGCCCCACCAGCAUAGGUGGGGGCCAACGCGCCGUUCCCCGGAGCACACCUAAGUGAGAGGGUCACCCAUUUACUGGCCAUCUGAAAACACCAACGUUCCUACACCACUUGGCUAGUUCUACGUUAAGCCUAUAAAAUGAACAACAUCUAAGCGGGUAGCUUUGUUUCCUUGUGUAAAAUCAACACAGUCUCAAAAAUGGAACAGAUAAGGCAAAAAGGACCAGAGAACCUCGGUUCUACAAGAACAUGAGACGCCUCUUCUUUAUCAGUUACAUCACAAUAGAAAUCGGAAACUCUGGUUUCUAGAAGCCUUUAGGCAAGCAACACACCCUUACUUGGAAGCACUCAGCAUACUACAGGUUUACUUAAACAGAUGUGGCCUGCGUUCAAAUAAUUCAGUCUGGAGAAAUACUAAAAACGUUAAAUAUUUAAAAUGUUUUAUAUUGUUCUCUCUGAAUAUGAAUUAAAGUCAGCGCAAAUGGUCAGAAAGACUUGCAGAAAGUUAAAACUGCCCAGAAAAUUUUGGUUCACACACAGCACAACAAAAGGGAGUCCAAGGUUCUAACACACACAGAACACCUUCCUGGAGCAGCCAGGACUUGGGGACUGCUGAGAAAGGUGAGGCGCGCGACAAACCCAAACCGCCGAGAAGGGUGAGGCGCGUGACAAACCCAAACCGUUGAGAAGGGUGAGGCGCGCGACAAACCCAAACCGUCGAGAAGGGUGAGGCGCGCGACAAACCCAAACCACGGAGAAGGGUGAGGCGCGCGACAAACCCAAACUGUUGAGAAGGGUGAGGCGCGCGACAAACCCAAACCGCCGAGAAGGGUGAGGCGCGCGACAAACCCAAACCGUCGAGAAGGGUGAGGCGCGCGACAAACCCAAACCGUCGAGAAGGGUGAGGCGCGCGACAAACCCAAACCGCCGAGAAGGGUGAGGCGCGCGACAAACCCAAACCGCCGAGAAGGGUGAGGCGCGCGACAAACCCAAACCGCCGAGAAGGGUGAGGCGCGCGACAAACCCAAACCGUCGA